RNAcentral lists this ribosomal RNA (444 nucleotides) under uncultured bacterium. Its description in RNAcentral is "bacterial SSU rRNA". It matches the Rfam family "Bacterial small subunit ribosomal RNA", at positions 107 to 526 of the family's 1533-position model. The record is from RNAcentral.
UGAGUACAACGUGGGUAACUUGCCUUCGAGUGGGGAAUAACCCUCCGAAAGGAGGGCUAAUACCGCAUAAUAUCCGACCCACACAAGUGGGAUGGAUCAAAGGUGGCCUCUGUUUCAUGCUACCGCUUGAAGAUGGGCCCGCGCCCCAUUAGCUAGUUGGUGAGUGUAACGGCUCACCAAGGCUGCGAUGGGUAGCCGACCUGAGAGGGUGAUCGGCCACACUGGGACUGAGACACGGCCCAGACUCCUACGGGAGGCAGCAGUGAGGAAUUUUCCGCAAUGGGCGAAAGCCUGACGGAGCGACGCCGCGUGCGUGAUGAAGGCCUUCGGGUCGUAAAUCGCUGUCGGAGAGGGCGAACUGUUUAUGUGCUAAUACCACAUAGACUUUGACGGUACUCUCCAAGGAAGCCCCGGCUAACUCCGUGCCAGCAGCCGCGGUAAUAC